UUAGAAUUGAGGAAGAAAUCAUUUUUCCUUCUUCUAGCUGAUACUGUCGAGUUUUUCCCCCAAAAGCAGAAUCACCAUUUUCUUCCUUCAAGUUCAAUUCGGAGAGAAAUUUCAUAUAGUAGCUGCAAUACUUUGAUAAUAAAGGUGAAUUUCUUUGAUCCUCUGUUAUCUCUGCGAUUUUAGCUUGAAGAAAAUUUAUUCUUUUAAUUCUAGGGUUUUCGAAAAUUUGGGAGUUUUAUGCUAGAGUUGAAGUAUGAUCUUAAUAUUGAGAUAUAUUAAGUUUUUGAUGAUCCUAAGCAUGGUUAUGGUGGCUAAUUGUGUUAAUUCUUACUUGAUUUUAAUUUUGCUCAAGUUAGUUUGAACCCUAGGUUAGAGUUUGAGAGUUAUGAUUAUGUUCUUGAAUAAUUGAGUUCAUAUAUGUGUUUUUGAGCUGGAAUUAUGUCAUAUAUGAAUAAAUUAUGAGUCUACACCACAUAGUUUGUGAGAUUGACUUUGUUAGUUUAAGUGGAUUUGAGAAUUCUUGAUGUAAGAUAGCUAUAUAUGUUUGAAGCUUGUAUAAUUGUACUCUUGAGAUUGUAAAAUGAGAUUAUAUGAUAGAAAUUGGAGGAUAUUAAGCAUGCUACUAUAUGUUGAUGUGUAGAACAUGAAUUAAGUUAAGCUAAAGCAUGCUAAUGUGUAUUAAGAUGAUGUAUUUGAGUUCCUAUAGCUGUUAUUUGAGGAAAAUAUGAGUUAUAUGUUAAGUUGAAGCAAGGGGACAUUGCUGUCAGUUUUUGGCUUGACAGGACAGUAUCUUGCGGGAGGAUUUUGAUGAUGUUUCCAUAGUCCAAAUGACUUGAAAUUUUUACAGUAAUAACUUCAUCAUGAGUAGUACGUGUCUACAAAAUUUCAGCUAAAUCCGAGACCAUUGGAUGUGUCAAACGAAUUUCUGAAAUGUACUGCACGAAGCAGCGAAGUUUAGUGGCAGAUUCUGCCUUUUGUGAUAUAACUUUUCAUACACUUGAUGUAUUGUAUUUUUGUAACUUUCUAAUAAAAAUAGACUUUGAGUGAUUUCUAAAAAUGUAAAGCUUGUAUUUUUCUUUAAAGAGGUUGAUUUUAUAUGAUAUUUCAAAGUUGAGAUUCAUAUAUGAUUACAUAUUUGAGAUUUCUUACUUGGGAUAGUUAUAAAUAGAAUCUAUGCUAAGUGAUUGAUGUUUAGUUAUUAAUUGUAAGCUAAUCUAUAUAGAAUGGAUUAGUUUACUCUUAAGCUUUUCUCAAUUUGAGAUAUCCCAAGAGAUGUGAUGUUACUAUUUGCUUUUAGUUAAGUCCAUAUAAGUAGAAUACUCAGAUUAGAGGAUGCAACUUUCAAGUGAUAGAAGUUUCAUUCAAGAUUUACUUUCUAUUUACUUACUUAUUAUCCAAUCUUACCUGGGAACCUCAUUAUAAUGAAGGUUCGAGUGGCUAUAAAGUGAACAAGCAAGGACUUUUACUUCAUUAAGUAUAUCAGGUGGGCUUACUAACUCAAGAAGUAAAGAUGCAUACUUUAUUAUAUAAAGUUUGAGUGUAUGCAUUUAUUUUCCAAUUAUUGACUUGCCAAUAUUUGAGAUUUGUAUGAUACCAUCUACAUAGAACAACGAAUUCGGGUCCUGAGCGAGUCAGGAUUUGUGUACACAGAGUUGGCAGUUAACCUUUGUGUUAGCUUGUCAUCGUGUUUGAGAAGGAGGCCUACUUCUCAACACUCAGAGUUAUAUGAUGCGUAGAUAUGGUACAUACAUGUUAAUUGUCUGCAGACGUAUAUGAUGCUAUGAUGAUUAUAGAGAAGUUUUACAGUUUUGCAUUCACAAGUUAUUUAAAUAAAACUCCUGUGUGAUGUUUGAGAUGGCAAGUUCAAUAUAUAGCUCUAAGAGCAAGCUUUAAAGUUAUUUCGGCAUGACCACUGAGUGCUUUUUGGUACUCAGCCCUGCGUAUGUUUCUAAAUAUGCAGGUUAAGCUGUGGUGCAGAUGGAAGCGAGCAGAGCAAAUUCUUUGAUGUAUAUGUAUUAAACCAGGCUCAGGAUUUCAUGUCUUCAUACAUGUAAUCCACUUGAGUUAUUCCGCUGCAACACUUAGUGUAUUUUACUUUGUGGACGUGUUGUAAAGAUUUUAAAUUAAUAGCUUUGAGAAUUGUCACUUGAUACUUAGACAACUUGUCGUUGUGUUAUUGUAAGUUGUCUACUCGUGAGUUUUAAAAGUGAUUGCUAUGAUUAUCCAAUAUUAUAGUAAAUUAUUGUUAAAGCGGGUUCAUUAUUAUUAUUGAAAUCUCUUUUCUUUUGCAUUUUCUUACUCCCUUUCCCAGUCACACCUUUCCCCGGCUUAACUAUACACUAGCUUAGGCCGGGCUGUGACAGAGUGGUAUCUGAGCCAGGUUAUUUGCUCUGAGCCUAAAUAUUCCUUUGAGUCUAGUCUAAAUUUGAAUCUUUGGACUAGUAUGAGUAAUAUAGUAAAAGCUCUGCUCUCCAUCUCAUCCAGCUUAGCCAGGUACAGAUUUUCAGAGUUUUAAAGUAGCAUGUUACAUUUUUAAACAAGUUUGAGAUAUGAGUUGCAGUUUUGCAAGUAUUAGCAUGAUGGAAACUUAUAUAUUUUAAAAUGAGCGAGUAUGGACAACAUGAGUUAUAUAUGAGUAUCCUCUACUAGUAUGAACUUGAAUGGAUAAAAGUGUUGUUCAUAUUUAAUAUUUUUAUUUGAUACAUGGAGUAUUUUCAUUUGUGUAUAGUAAUGAAAAUCUUUGAGAUAUGUGGACGUAUAUUUAUACAUUGGAUGGAUGCAGAUAUAGACAGUUUGAUGAUACAAUAGCGAUGUAUGUCAGUGGCACUAUAACCUAGUACCAGUAGUGAUGUUAUACAGUUAGGGCAUCACAAUUAGUGCUAAGAGCCUUUUGCAACGUAUAUUUCCAUCUUUUGUAUGAGAACUCAUUGAGGCAAAAUUUCCCAUGAUGUGAAACGGCCGAAGUGGUCAUUUGCUAGGUCGUUGAGCUUUAAUUGCUUAGAUGAUUGAAUUUUUGUGUAUGAGUUUUUAUACCUUAGUUGGUUUAUGGUUAUGUAGUAGUUUGACUUUAUGGAUGGAAUAAAAGCUUAGUUAUGGGAAAUUGUGUAUUUACUCGGCACGAUGUCUCAAAGAAGCGGUGGAAAUCUGCCAUCCGCCAUGUGAAUAAUUUAGAGAACUACUCGUCCCCAUCAACUUGAAAGAAGAACAGCAGAAGUUUUUCAUCGUCAAAAUCCCUUUAUUGCGAGUUAAGCGGUAGAGUUUCAAAGAAGCGGUAGAGUUUUGCGAGUUUCAUGUUCUUAGAUGCAAUGCUUAAGAGCGCCUUCUUGUAUGUUAUUUCAACUACAAGAAUCAACUGAUUAUUAGUGGGAGACGAAGCAGAAGAUAUAAACCCUCGAGCGAUUAGAGAAUCUUAUUUGGGGCCAUUUGGGGUCAGUUCAUAGAAGCUUUUACCAAGAAUAUAUUUCCAGAAGCCGUCGUCAGCAAAAUGAGACGUAAUUUAACAAUUUAAAGCAAUAGAAGAAGACCGUGGUUGAAUAUGAUUGAGAGUUUUGUGACAUAGCUGGAUAUACGCCUUAUAAGGUUGACACAUAUAGUAGUUGUAACUUCUCAUAGAGUUUUGAUGUAGUGCCUUUGCUUGUUGGCAAGCCAAACAUUCCUUCAACUAAUGAAGCUAUAUCUCAUUUCCAUUUCUUCCCACCAAACUUUUGUUUGAGAUCUUGAUAUAAUUUAGUGCUUCUUUGGUGGGCACUAUAUAGCGUAUCAUGAGCUUUACUCUCAACUGUUCAGUAUUGGGUACACAACUUUUCUCAAACAUGAUAGCAGUACCCCUAGCUUUUUGGCAAGUAUUGAUCUCUUCUAUCAGAAUCCUUACCCGUAGUUUUUCUACCUUUUCAUUUUUCCUUUGUAUUGUAACAAUUCUGAUUCUCAAAUCAGGAGCUACUGUUGAAAUUGCAAUUACAGCUUCUAUGGUUUGUGGUGGUAAAACCACUUCUAAAUUCAACCUUUCGAAUUCCUUGAUCAAUUUUCUUCAUGGGUAAGGAGAAAUCCUUAGUUAACUUGAGUUUUUCUACUCAAGGCAUCCACUACUAUAUUGGCGUUGCGUGGGUGAUAAUUUAUUCUACAAUCAUAGUCCCUUACUAAUUCGAGCUAUAUUCUUUGCCUCAUACUUAGAUCUUUUUGCUCGAAUAAGUAUUUUGAAAUUUUUAUGAGGUGUAUCAAUUCCACAUUUCGUUCCAUAAUACUAUUGUUGGCUAGUUCCAAGUUGUGUUGAGCAAUUCAGUUCUUGCGGUCUAAGUUUUCAUGACCCAUUAACAAUAACUCUUUCACCUUGCAACAAUGCACAACCAAGUCCAUCUUUGAUACACAGGACCGAUUUCAUAUGGUCUUUCAACUUUGAGAAUUCGGGCAAAUUUUAAAAUAGCCUUUCAUCCAGUAACAGAUGAGCAAUUUGAGAGAAAUCUUUAGACCUUGGAAGAUGUGAUACAGACUAUUGUACUAGAGCGAAGAAGUGGCUACUUUAGCAGUAGGGACACUGGCAAUCGUGAGUGAUUCCGGGUUCCAAAACUCUCUUUUCAAAAAUGAUUUUUUUUAGAAGGAGCGAAUUCCCCGCAAACAGGGCAGGAGACGACCAUCUCAAGGUGCAUCACGCGUACUCAGAAGCCGCAUUAUGCACUAGAUUGAAGGAUGAAUUGGGAAAACGCUUUUGCUACUCAUUGAAUUUGCCUACAAUAAUAGUUUUUGGGCAACAAUUGAUAUGACACCAUAUGGAGCUUAUUGUGGAAAGAAAUAUUGAUCUCCACUCUAUUGACAUGAGGUAAGUGAAAGAAAAGUGACAGGACCUGAUGCGGUUGAAGAAAUGAUUACGCUUAUCCGACAAAUUCGACAACUGCUCAAGGAACCUCAAGAGCGACAUAAACUUUUUGCAGAUACUCGUUGAUUUGAUUUGAAUUUUUGAAAUAGGGGAUGAAGUUUUUCUCAAUGUUCCGCAUUCUAAAGGAGUGCACAAGUUCGAUGUGAAAGAGAAGUAUCUAGAAUUAUUUUCGGACGUAGUCAAAUUUCGAGGAUGAAAUUUCUUUAAGGGGGAGAGGAUGUAACACCCGGCAUUUUCACUACAGUAUAUAUGUUAUUAUUAAUAUUAUUUUCUAUUUUCUAUUAUCUAAAAGAAGAAAGAGAAGUAGAAUCACUGAGAUGAGAUGAGAUAUCAUUAUAAUACUCUGAGCUUUUAAUUCAGUGAUUGCAUAAUUUGAAUAAUUAAGUAUUCUUGUAUCCUUUAUUAAUUUUAUUCUUUGAAGCAAGUUUAUAAUUCCUAGUUAAAGGGAUUAUUUUAUUAUUUUCAGAGAUGAGAAUGGUGAUAAAUACGAAAUAUUAUUAGUCGACUUAUUGCUCGACUAAUUGAAGUGACAGAUGUUAUUUAAUUAUUUAUCUACGAGCUUUCUAAUGAAUUUAUUGAUUUAAUAAUCAAGAUCAACUACUAAAUCAAUAGUGGGAAUAGUAUGUGAAUAUUUGUUUAUUUUUAGAGUAUGAGAUUUAUUAUUAUUUCAUUAUAGAUUUUUUCCACUAUUAAAUUUUUAAUUUAGAAUUCCAUUAUAUUAUAUAUAUAUAUAUAUAUACUAAUAUCUCUCUUUUUCCCAAAAUGGGCCGAGUAACAGUGGCCACCAAAUUGGGUUCCUAAUUACAUGAUAACAAAUGGGUUUUAUAAGAUUUUUAAUGCACAAUUCCCAAAAACAAAAGAAGGAUAACUACGCAUGUUAUUAGAAUUGAGGAAGAAAUCAUUUUUCCUUCUUCUAGCUGAUACUGUCGAGUUUUUCCCCCAAAAGCAGAAUCACCAUUUUCUUCCUUCAAGUUCAAUUCGGAGAGAAAUUUCAUAUAGUAGCUGCAAUACUUUGAUAAUAAAGGUGAAUUUCUUUGAUCCUCUGUUAUCUCUGCGAUUUUAGCUUGAAGAAAAUUUAUUCUUUUAAUCUAGGGUUUCUUCGAGAAUUUGGAGAUUUUAUUCUAGAGUUAAAAUAUGAUUGUAAUAUUGAGAUAUAUUAUGUUUUUGAUGUUCCUAAGCAUGAUUAUGGUGGUUAAUUGUAUUAAUUCUUACUUGAUUUCGAGUUUACUCAAGUUAGUAUGAACCCUAGGUUUGAGGAUGAGAGUUUUGAUUAUGUUCUUGAAUAAUUGGACUCAUAUAUGUGUUCUUGAGUUGGAAUUAUGUCAUAUAUGAGUAAAUUACGAGUUUACACUAUAUAGGAUGUGAGAUUGAGUUUGUUAGUUUAAUGAAAAUUGGGGCUUUUGAGAUAAGAAGGUUUAUAUGCUAUUAAUUGAUGGAUAUAAAUAUAUUAUGAUGUGAUUUUAUUAGAUAUGGGCAUUAGAACAGCCCUAUUACCUCAUUUUUUUUGUAAGGCUCUAAUGUAUGGACAAUUGUUAUAAGAAUUGUUAUGUUAUAAGUUGUUGGCUUAGUUGAGGUGUUAAACAUGAGUUAAGUUUGAAGUUAAAGCAUCCUAGCAUGUGUUAUGAUCAUGUGUUUGAGUCUCUACACAUUUUAUUUGGCCAAAGUAUGAGUUAUAUGUUGAAUUGAAACAAAGAAUACAUUGAUGUCAGUUUUUAACUUGGCAGAGCAGUGUCUUGGGGGAUGAUUUUAAUGAUGUUCCCAUAGUCCAAAUGAGUUGAAAUUUUUACAGUAAUAACUUCAUUAUGAGUAUUAGAUCUCUGCAAAAUUUCAGCUGAAUCCGAGACCUCUAGAUAGGUCAAACAAUUUUCUGAAAAGUACUGCGCUAAGCAGCGAGGUUCUGUGGCAGAUUCUGCCUUUUGUGAGAUAAUUUCUUAUACAUUUGAGAUAUUGUGUUUUUAUAAAUUCCCGAUAAAUAUAGACUUUAGUAGAAUUCUAAAAGUGUAAAGCUUAUAUUUUUCUUUGAAGAGGUUGAUUUUAUAUGAUUUUUCAAAGUUGAGAUUCAUUUAUGAAGACAUGUUUGAGAUUUCUUACUUGGGAUAGUUAUAAAUAGAACCAUGCUAAGUGAUUGAUGUUUAGUUAUUAAUCGUAAGCUAACCUAUAUAGAAUGGAUUAGUUUACUCUU
This 7052-nucleotide long non-coding RNA is filed under the name Salvia miltiorrhiza (redroot sage). RNAcentral's name for it is "long non-coding RNA (SMIL_LNC002504)". The record is from RNAcentral. Lineage: Eukaryota; Viridiplantae; Streptophyta; Magnoliopsida; Lamiales; Lamiaceae.